RNAcentral lists this ribosomal RNA (1730 nucleotides) under Enterobacter roggenkampii. Its description in RNAcentral is "partial 23S ribosomal RNA". It matches the Rfam family "Bacterial large subunit ribosomal RNA", at positions 1220 to 2925 of the family's 2925-position model. The record is from RNAcentral. Lineage: Bacteria; Pseudomonadati; Pseudomonadota; Gammaproteobacteria; Enterobacterales; Enterobacteriaceae.
GUUGUUGGGUAGGGGAGCGUUCUGUAAGCCGUUGAAGGUGGCCUGUGAGGGUUGCUGGAGGUAUCAGAAGUGCGAAUGCUGACAUAAGUAACGAUAAAGCGGGUGAAAAGCCCGCUCGCCGGAAGACCAAGGGUUCCUGUCCAACGUUAAUCGGGGCAGGGUGAGUCGACCCCUAAGGCGAGGCCGAAAGGCGUAGUCGAUGGGAAACAGGUUAAUAUUCCUGUACUUGGUGUUACUGCGAAGGGGGGACGGAGAAGGCUAUGUUAGCCGGGCGACGGUUGUCCCGGUUUAAGCAUGUAGGCGGAACGAUUAGGUAAAUCCGGUCGUUUAUUAACGCUGAGGUGUGAUGACGAGGCACUACGGUGCUGAAGUAACAAAUGCCCUGCUUCCAGGAAAAGCCUCUAAGCAUCAGGUAACAUCAAAUCGUACCCCAAACCGACACAGGUGGUCAGGUAGAGAAUACCAAGGCGCUUGAGAGAACUCGGGUGAAGGAACUAGGCAAAAUGGUGCCGUAACUUCGGGAGAAGGCACGCUGAUAUGUAGGUGAAGCCCCUGCGGGUGGAGCUGAAAUCAGUCGAAGAUACCAGCUGGCUGCAACUGUUUAUUAAAAACACAGCACUGUGCAAACACGAAAGUGGACGUAUACGGUGUGACGCCUGCCCGGUGCCGGAAGGUUAAUUGAUGGGGUUAGCGGCAACGCGAAGCUCUUGAUCGAAGCCCCGGUAAACGGCGGCCGUAACUAUAACGGUCCUAAGGUAGCGAAAUUCCUUGUCGGGUAAGUUCCGACCUGCACGAAUGGCGUAAUGAUGGCCAGGCUGUCUCCACCCGAGACUCAGUGAAAUUGAACUCGCUGUGAAGAUGCAGUGUACCCGCGGCAAGACGGAAAGACCCCGUGAACCUUUACUAUAGCUUGACACUGAACACUGGUCCUUGAUGUGUAGGAUAGGUGGGAGGCUUUGAAGUGUGGACGCCAGUCUGCAUGGAGCCGUCCUUGAAAUACCACCCUUUAAUGGCUGGUGUUCUAACGUAGACCCGUAAUCCGGGUUGCGGACAGUGUCUGGUGGGUAGUUUGACUGGGGCGGUCUCCUCCCAAAGAGUAACGGAGGAGCACGAAGGUUAGCUAAUCCUGGUCGGACAUCAGGAGGUUAGUGCAAUGGCAUAAGCUAGCUUGACUGCGAGAGUGACGGCUCGAGCAGGUGCGAAAGCAGGUCAUAGUGAUCCGGUGGUUCUGAAUGGAAGGGCCAUCGCUCAACGGAUAAAAGGUACUCCGGGGAUAACAGGCUGAUACCGCCCAAGAGUUCAUAUCGACGGCGGUGUUUGGCACCUCGAUGUCGGCUCAUCACAUCCUGGGGCUGAAGUAGGUCCCAAGGGUAUGGCUGUUCGCCAUUUAAAGUGGUACGCGAGCUGGGUUUAGAACGUCGUGAGACAGUUCGGUCCCUAUCUGCCGUGGGCGCUGGAGAAUUGAGGGGGGCUGCUCCUAGUACGAGAGGACCGGAGUGGACGCAUCACUGGUGUUCGGGUUGUCAUGCCAAUGGCACUGCCCGGUAGCUAAAUGCGGAAAAGAUAAGUGCUGAAAGCAUCUAAGCACGAAACUUGCCCCGAGAUGAGUUCUCCCUGAGACUUUAAGUCUCCUGAAGGAACGUUGAAGACGACGACGUUGAUAGGUCGGGUGUGUAAGCGCAGCGAUGCGUUGAGCUAACCGAUACUAAUGAACCGUGAGGCUUAACCUU